This 521-nucleotide ribosomal RNA is filed under the name uncultured bacterium. RNAcentral's name for it is "bacterial SSU rRNA". It matches the Rfam family "Bacterial small subunit ribosomal RNA", at positions 355 to 891 of the family's 1533-position model. The record is from RNAcentral.
UGGGGAAUCUUGCACAAUGGGCGAAAGCCUGAUGCAGCAACGCCGCGUGCGGGAAGACAGCCCUAGGGUUGUAAACCGCUUUCAGCAGGGAAGAAACUGACGGUACCUGCAGAAGAAGAUGCGGCCAACUACGUGCCAGCAGCCGCGGUGACACGUAGGCAUCAAGCGUUAUCCGGAUUUAUUGGGCGUAAAGAGCUCGUAGGCGGUUCGGUAAGUCGGGUGUGAAAACUCUGGGCUCAACCCAGAGAGGCCACUCGAUACUGCUGUGACUAGAGUGCGGUAGGGGAGCGGGGAAUUCCUGGUGUAGCGGUGAAAUGCGCAGAUAUCAGGAGGAACACCAGUGGCGAAGGCGCCGCUCUGGGCCGUAACUGACGCUGAGGAGCGAAAGCAUGGGUAGCAAACAGGAUUAGAUACCCUGGUAGUCCAUGCCGUAAAACGUUGGGCACUAGGUGUGGGUCUCAACCAACGAGAUCCGCGCCGUCGCUAACGCAUUAAGUGCCCGCCUGGGAGUACGGUCGCAA